CCUACGGGUGGCUGCAGUGGGGAAUAUUGCACAAUGGGGGAAACCCUGAUGCAGCGACGCCGCGUGAGCGAAGAAGUAAUUCGUUAUGUAAAGCUCUAUCAGCAGGGAAGAAAAUGACGGUACCUUAGUAAGAAGCCCCGGCUAACUACGUGCCAGCAGCCGCGGUAAUACGUAGGGGGCAAGCGUUAUCCGGAUUUACUGGGUGUAAAGGGAGCGUAGACGGCAGUGCAAGUCUGGAGUGAAAGGCGGGGGCUAAACCCCCGAACUGCUCUGGAAACUGUACGGCUGGAGUGCAGGAGAGGUAAGUGGAAGUCCUAGUGUAGCGGUGAAAUGCGUAGAUAGUAGGAGGAACACCAGUGGCGAAGGCGGCUUACUGGACUGUAACUGACGCUGAUGCACGAAAGCGUGGGUAUCAAACAGGAUUAGAUACCCUUGUAGUC
Molecule: ribosomal RNA, 440 nt
Filed under: uncultured bacterium
Lineage: Bacteria
Description: partial 16S ribosomal RNA
Rfam family: Bacterial small subunit ribosomal RNA
Source: RNAcentral